UAUCCAGAGUUUCCAAGCACAAUUUUUGUAGGGUGUUUUCUGCAGCUGUGACCCAUGCAUACACACCCUAGCCUCCAGCACAGCAUUGACCACCCAGCUAAUCUCAUUCAGCAUUUUCCUUGGCAACAUUGAGGCAGCAUUUGAGAAGAAUUAACCUUCAACUCACCAACCUGCUCUUAGGCAUUUUCUUCAAGGAUGCUAUCCACAGAUGCCAAAUGUCGAAGUUGUACUACCACAAGCUAGACAAGAUUUUGAUUCCGACUAACCCAUUCUUUAAAGGUCCAUUGCCUUAGGAAAUUAAAACUUUUAUGUCUUGUAUCAAGACCCUUUUAAAGCAACAUAAUAACAAUUGUUUCAUAAAUAAAUGCCUCCUUAUAUUUUUUACAAUUUUUUGAAAACCUCUCCAAGUUGCUCGUCUAAUGGUGGACCCCGCCCUUAAAAUUCUCAGAGUUCCUCGGAAUGAUUGACCAAAGGAUUAGUGAUGUUAUAUCAAGAACGAUCUCCGCUUAGGCAAGCUACGGUGCUUGCUAGCCAGCUCUGCAGGCAUUAUGUUUUGUACACAAACAUAAACAAUUACUUUUGUUAUUAAAUAGUGUGUUAUGCAUCUUUACUUGUUAUUUAUUGUGGUGAAAUUUCACUAAUGGCCCAAUUUUAAAAAGAGAGCUAUACCAUGAGUCGAAGAAGAUCGUAAUUGAUUUGAAUGCCUGUAUAACGUGUCAACUAAAUGCAUGCUAUAAAGAAUUUCAAAGGUAAGAAAAAAAUGUUUCAUAUAUCUAAGUGACUGAAUGUUUUUCGUACUACCUUCUUCUCAAUUUAAAGAAAUAUUGAAAGUGGUAUAUCAGAGUGAAGAAACUUGUGUUUUUCCCUUUACAAGCUCUGCUCUUUCUUACUUCACUUUCAAAUUUCCUCUCUUGUUAUAUAAACAUUUAGCGAUUGCUUUACUUCACACAUUCAAGCAAUGUAUACUAUCCCUCC
Molecule: long non-coding RNA, 975 nt
Organism: Strongylocentrotus purpuratus (purple sea urchin)
Lineage: Eukaryota; Metazoa; Echinodermata; Echinoidea; Camarodonta; Strongylocentrotidae
Exons: 4
Source: RefSeq, a predicted model, not a curated record